UACGUAGGUCCCGAGCGUUGUCCGGAUUUAUUGGGCGUAAAGCGAGCGCAGGUGGUUUAUUAAGUCUGGUGUAAAAGGUAGUGGCUCAACUAUUGUAUGCAUUGGAAACUGGUAGACUUGAGUGCAGGAGAGGAGAGUGGAAUUCCAUGUGUAGCGGUGAAAUGCGUAGAUAUAUGGAGGAACACCGGUGGCGAAAGCGGCUCUCUGGUCUGUAACUGACACUGAGGCUCGAAAGCGUGGGGAGCAAACAGG
Molecule: ribosomal RNA, 252 nt
Filed under: uncultured bacterium
Lineage: Bacteria
Description: partial 16S ribosomal RNA
Rfam family: Bacterial small subunit ribosomal RNA
Source: RNAcentral